GCAUUUGCUCAAAAAGUAUAAAGCUAGAACAUUAAGGAACAACGUACCAUUAAACUCGACGGUCUCCAAUUGCAUAGAUAAGAGGAUCACCUACAGACAUCGAUAAUUUCCUUAGAUCUGACAACAACUAGAAGGUUUGAAAUAGAAAAUGGCAUCGAAGCUCAUCAAUGCUGCGUUUCUUCUGGUCGUUCUUGUGGGCGCAACCAUUGCCAACACCACAGGCGACGUGGAACGAGACAGCGAGACCUUUCCCCUUAAUAUGGACGUUGAUGAGGAGAUACAACAUGACAUGGGAGAUGUUGAAGCUGUAGCAAGGUGGGACAGGGACCCAGAAAGUGUGCUGGAUAACGGGAUAGGAUGGUAGAGGAGUGUACAAAGGCGCCAAUGAGACAUGCUUAACAUGCCUCUCGAGGACAGAGUCAGAGAAAAAUGGAACAUCGAAAAGAGCUGACAGGCCGACGUGAUGAAGGGCCACUAUCUCCUCUGGUUCGAUCAAUUUGGGAAAAGGUCUAAAUAGUCUAGACUACACCUCUUCAACAUUAAAUAUGUAGUGAUAAUUCAAGAAAUGUAUUUAUCAUUUUAGUAAGUUUAUUGUUACUAAAAGUCAUUUAAAAAAAUACUAUCACCUGUAAUACUUGAAACAUUAAAUGAAGCACCUCACCAAACCACCAGAGUCUGUGUUUCUAACUUUCAACGUUUAAGUUGUUGUAUCUCUGUAGUGAAUACUAUGAAACUAGUACAGCCUUUUCCUAAUGUCCUCAUUUUAUCUUUCUCCUCCCCCUCACUCUUUCUCCCUCUCUGGCCCCUUCUUUCCCUUCCUAUUUGUUCACUCUCUUUGUGUUCCACUUUCUACCCCUUCAUUUCUAUCUGCAUGGUCUGUUUCGCUUUCUGUUUCUUUCUCUUUAAGUUGUCUCUUUGUAUCUCACCCUAUCCCCUAGACAAAACCUCAUCCUCUCAUUAUCUCUCUUGAUUAGUGCUCUCUUCCCAUAU
Molecule: long non-coding RNA, 990 nt
Organism: Strongylocentrotus purpuratus (purple sea urchin)
Lineage: Eukaryota; Metazoa; Echinodermata; Echinoidea; Camarodonta; Strongylocentrotidae
Exons: 4
Source: RefSeq, a predicted model, not a curated record